ACUCAAAUGAAUAGACGGGGGCCCGCACAAGCGGUGGAGCAUGUGGUUCAAUUCGAAGCAACGCGCAGAACCUUACCAGCUUUUGACAUGUCCGGUAUGACCUUCAGAGAUGAGGGUCUUCAGUUCGGCUGGCCGGAACACAGGUGCUGCAUGGCUGUCGUCAGCUCGUGUCGUGAGAUGUUGGGUUAAGUCCCGCAACGAGCGCAACCCUCGUCCUUAGUUGCCAUCAUUUAGUUGGGCACUCUAAGGAGACUGCCGGUGAUAAGCCGGAGGAAGGUGGGGAUGACGUCAAGUCCUCAUGGCCCUUACAGGCUGGGCUACACACGUGCUACAAUGGCGGUGACAGUGGGCAGCUAACUCGCAAGAGUAUGCUAAUCUCAAAAAACCGUCUCAGUUCGGAUUGUGCUCUGCAACUCGAGCACAUGAAGCUGGAAUCGCUAGUAAUCGUGGAUCAGAACGCCACGGUGAAUACGUUCCCGGGCCUUGCACACACCGCCCGU
This 500-nucleotide ribosomal RNA is filed under the name uncultured bacterium. RNAcentral's name for it is "partial 16S ribosomal RNA". It matches the Rfam family "Bacterial small subunit ribosomal RNA", at positions 899 to 1397 of the family's 1533-position model. The record is from RNAcentral.